GAUGAACGCUGGCGGCGUGCCUAAUACAUGCAAGUCGAGCGAACGGGCGAGAAGCUUGCUUCUCUGAUGUUAGCGGCGGACGGGUGAGUAACACGUGUAUAACCUACCUAUAAGACUGGGAUAACUUCGGGAAACCGGAGCUAAUACCGGAUGAUAUUUUGAACCGCAUGGUUCAAAAGUGAUAGACGGUCUUUCUGUCUCUUAUAGAUGGAUCCGCGCUGCAUUAGCUAGUUGGUAAGGUAACGGCUUACCAAGGCAACGAUGCAUAUCCGACCUGAGAGGGUGAUCGGCCACACUGGAACUGAGACACGGUCCAGACACCUACGGGAGGCAGCAGUAGGGAAUCUUCCGCAAUGGGCGAAAGCCUGACGGAGCAACGCCGCGUGAGUGAUGAAGGUCUUCGGAUCGUAAAACUCUGUUAUUAGGGAAGAACAUAUGUGUAAGUAACUGUGCACAUCUUGACGGUACCUAAUCAGAAAGCCACGGCUAACUACGUG
This 497-nucleotide ribosomal RNA is filed under the name uncultured bacterium. Its description in RNAcentral is "partial 16S ribosomal RNA". It matches the Rfam family "Bacterial small subunit ribosomal RNA", at positions 28 to 507 of the family's 1533-position model. The record is from RNAcentral.